This 471-nucleotide ribosomal RNA is filed under the name uncultured bacterium. RNAcentral's name for it is "bacterial SSU rRNA". It matches the Rfam family "Bacterial small subunit ribosomal RNA", at positions 32 to 514 of the family's 1533-position model. The record is from RNAcentral.
AAUCAACGCUGGCGGCGUGCCUCAGACAUGCAAGUCGAACGAUUAAAGCUCUCUUCGGAGAGUGUAUAGAGUGGCGCACGGGUGAGUAACACGUAAGUAAUCUACCUUCGAGUGGGGAAUAACGUCCGGAAGCGGACGCUAAUACCGCAUAAUGCAGCGGCAUCGCAAGAUGACAGUUGUUAAAGAUUUAUCGCUUGAAGAGGAGCUUGCGGCAGAUUAGCUAGUUGGUAAGGUAAUGGCUUACCAAGGCUACGAUCUGUAACCGGUCUAAGAGGACGGUCGGUCACACUGACACUGAAUAACGGGUCAGACUCCUACGGGAGGCAGCAGUCGGGAAUUUUGGGCAAUGGGGGAAACCCUGACCCAGCAACGCCGCGUGAAGGAUGAAGUAUUUCGGUAUGUAAACUUCGAAAGAAUAGGAAGAAUAAAUGACGGUCUAUUUAUAAGGUCCGGCUAACUACGUGCCAGCAG